Molecule: ribosomal RNA, 318 nt
Filed under: Triticum aestivum (bread wheat)
Lineage: Eukaryota; Viridiplantae; Streptophyta; Magnoliopsida; Poales; Poaceae
Description: partial small subunit ribosomal RNA
Source: RNAcentral
AUGCCUGAUCACAAAUUGCAACCCCAGUUGCUAUUGGGCCGUGGGCAUGCGACAACUUAUGGCCUUGGGAGAACAACAAACAGGGCAAAAGUACAGGAGUGUGGCUUCCUGAACCGAGGCAUCUGGACGGAGCGCCAACGACCUAGGAUCCAGACUGCAUGUCGCCUGCUGCGCCGCCACGGUCGACGCUGUGGCGUGAUCACCAGUGACUCCACCAUAAAGAACCGUGUCUCUCUUGCCCGUGGCGUCAUAUGUACAAGUCCCCCCACUCUUAUCUUGCCAUCGAUGGCACUGGAGACAACGGCCGUGAACAGGUGA